GCCGCCAUGGUGAAAUCGGUAGACACGCUGCUCUUAGGAAGCAGUGCUAGGGCAUCUCGGUUCGAGUCCGAGUGGCGGCA
Molecule: transfer RNA, 80 nt
Filed under: Viola odorata
Lineage: Eukaryota; Viridiplantae; Streptophyta; Magnoliopsida; Malpighiales; Violaceae
Also listed under: 16 other names
Description: tRNA-Leu
Rfam family: tRNA
About the family: Transfer RNA (tRNA) molecules are approximately 80 nucleotides in length. Their secondary structure includes four short double-helical elements and three loops (D, anti-codon, and T loops).
Source: RNAcentral